Papaver somniferum (opium poppy) is the source of this 1546-nucleotide long non-coding RNA. RefSeq lists it as uncharacterized. The record is from RefSeq and is a predicted model, not a curated record. The transcript is spliced from 8 exons. Lineage: Eukaryota; Viridiplantae; Streptophyta; Magnoliopsida; Ranunculales; Papaveraceae.
UCUCCACAAUUGAUCUUCCAUAACGCCAGAAACAGCAUUCACUGCAUUAAGUUCCUCAUUCAUGUUCCAAGGUUUAUCAUCACUCCACCAGAUUAAGAUCCCAUUUUCAACUUCUUCAUCUUCUUUUCCCUCUUGGGGAUACCAUCAGACAGAAGAUGCUUGGGUUAAUACAUCUCAAAUAUUACUUCCUCAGUGGCAGCAACACUCUGUCACUUCAUCUUCUUCUUCUUCUUCUUCUUCUUCUCAGCGAUAUCUAGAGUGAAUCAAGUGGAUUCGGCAAGAUUAGAUAUCGAGAUAUCGGGGAUGUUGAAAGAACAAUUAGUUAAGGUUUUCUGUUAAGGAAUUUCACUUCACAGAUUGUAUAUGAAGCUCAGAAAUCGGUUGGAUGGUUUUCUGAUGAAUCUGAUCGCGGAUCCAAGAAGUGCAUAGUUCCAAUAGAUUAAUUGGGUUUCUUUUGUAUCUUCAAUUUUUGAGAAAUUAAGUAGACAUGGUGGUGAAAUAUGAUCUAUUAACACCAACAAUUCAGGUUUUUGCAGAAAUAAUGGGAGUUUAAUUGUUGCAAAUUUUGUGGAGAUUAUUGUUGUGUUGCAUGCCAGCAUCCGUCUCAGAAAAUUACAUCUUUCCCUGUGAUUUUUUUCCCAGCUUUACUAUGGAGUCAAUAGUUGUGCAAAGGUGUUUGUUGUUAGAUACAAGAAUAUACUGAAGCCACUUUUCUCUGUGCAGCUACUACCAAAUAUGAGCAUGAGUGGGGACUACCUGCAUCAGUUUUUAAUGUACAAAAUAUGGCGAUAAAGAUGAAAGUGACAAAUAGGAACCUUCGUGUCAUGAUCAAAUUCAUCCCAACAGUCAUAUGAUGAAAAAAUGGAUCAGUGAAUAGUGGGAUUAAGAAUUUAAGAUAGAAGGAUGAAUUUGCACGUCCUGAAAUGAUAAUAUACCUAGUGGGAUUAAGAUGGAUGGAUGAAUUUGCACGUCCUGAAAUGGUGAUAUUCAUGAGCUUACCAAGGUUUACAUAUUCAUAACCAAGCUUAGCCAGACCAGUUGAUCCUAAAGCAUCAGUUUUUAUUGAUCCAACAAACACGACACUUAGAGGCACAGGGUUAAAGCUUUGAGGAGUUUCUUGGAUGGUAGCACUGGUGAUCUUGGUGCCUAUGAAGUUCAGCACUGAAUUGCCACGAUGAACAAAAUUACAGCUGCACAUGACAAGUUUGGUGCAGUAGAAUCUACUACAAUCAAAGAUAUCUCAAGUGGGACUCUCGGUGCCUCAUUGUACAUGCAUUCGGAUGAAGUUUGCAACAACGAUACACCUUUAAUAUUUUGACAGUGGUAUACAACAAUACAUGACAAGUAGCAUGUUAAGAUGAAAGCUACAUCUUACAGUGUAUCGAUUCAUCCCGUGUUUCUGCUAUAGAAUUUUCGGAAUAUUGUGCUUAGUAAUCCACAAUCUAAAGGACCUCUACUGGCGUCUGAGUUGGUGUUGGUGGUUAUAAACUUUGUUGAGGUAUUAAGAAAAACAUUAUAAUAAAGCCGUGGCAUUUAAACCUGGUAA